GUAUCCUUCGCGAAUGAUCGAAAUCCAGACCAGCCUCCGACGUCGCCGCUCGCCGCUUCCCUAGGGAUGCCGCUGGCUCGUCACGGAUUUGCGCUCAUGUAAGCUUUCGAAGCGCAGGAAAUGAAGCCACGGGAUACCGUGGCUUUUGU
Molecule: non-coding RNA, 149 nt
Filed under: Caballeronia glathei
Lineage: Bacteria; Pseudomonadati; Pseudomonadota; Betaproteobacteria; Burkholderiales; Burkholderiaceae
Description: Burkholderia glathei Burkholderia sRNA 7
Rfam family: Burkholderia sRNA 7
About the family: Did not show any change in expression in iron-depletion and hydrogen peroxide (oxidative stress) treatment. Constitutively expressed. Possibly targets the GTPase, ObgE.
Source: Rfam by way of RNAcentral